RNAcentral lists this unclassified non-coding RNA (378 nucleotides) under Silanimonas lenta. RNAcentral's name for it is "contains 16S-23S intergenic spacer region". Lineage: Bacteria; Pseudomonadati; Pseudomonadota; Gammaproteobacteria; Lysobacterales; Lysobacteraceae. The record is from RNAcentral.
UCCGGCUUGUCGCCGGCGGUCUCCUUAGAGUUCCCACCCGAAGUGCUGGCAACUAAGGACAAGGGUUGCGCUCGUUGCGGGACUUAACCCAACAUCUCACGACACGAGCUGACGACAGCCAUGCAGCACCUGUCUCACGGUUCCCGAAGGCACCAAUCCAUCUCUGGAAAGUUCCGUGGAUGUCAAGGCCAGGUAAGGUUCUGCGCGUUGCAUCGAAUUAAACCACAUACUCCACCGCUUGUGCGGGCCCCCGUCAAUUCCUUUGAGUUUCAGUCUUGCGACCGUACUCCCCAGGCGGCGAACUUAACGCGUUAGCUUCGAUACUGAGCUCCGAAGUGAGCCCAACAUCCAGUUCGCAUCGUUUAGGGCGUGGACUAC